RNAcentral lists this ribosomal RNA (525 nucleotides) under uncultured delta proteobacterium. Its description in RNAcentral is "bacterial SSU rRNA". It matches the Rfam family "Bacterial small subunit ribosomal RNA", at positions 20 to 523 of the family's 1533-position model. Lineage: Bacteria; Deltaproteobacteria. The record is from RNAcentral.
UGGCUCAGAGCGAACGUUAGCGGCGGGCCUAACACAUGCAAGUCGCACGAGAAAAGGGCUUCGGCCCCCAGUAAAGUGGCGGACGGGUGAGUAACACGUGGGUAAUCUGCCCUUCGAUGGGGGAUAACAGUCCGAAAGGAUUGCUAAUACCGCAUUCGUCGGCGGGGACUUCGGUUCCUGUCGGGAAAGCCGACCUCUUCAUGAAAGUUGGCGUCGGAGGAUGAGCCCGCGGCCCAUCAGCUAGUUGGUGAGGUAAUGGCUCACCAAGGCUAAGACGGGUAGCUGGUCUGAGAGGAUGAUCAGCCACACUGGGACUGAGACACGGCCCAGACUCCUACGGGAGGCAGCAGUGGGGAAUAUUGGGCAAUGGGCGCAAGCCUGACCCAGCCACGCCGCGUGAGUGAUGAAGGCCUUCGGGUCGUAAAGCUCUGUGGGGAGGGACGAAACCUGCUUGGCUAAUAUCCAAGUAGCUGACGGUACCUCCUUAGCAAGCACCGGCUAACUCCGUGCCAGCAGCCGCGGUAA